GACGAACGCUGGCGGCGUGCUUAACACAUGCAAGUCGAACGGUAAGGCUCCAGCUUGCUGGGGUACACGAGUGGCGAACGGGUGAGUAACACGUGGGUGACCUGCCCUGCACUUCGGGAUAAGCCUGGGAAACUGGGUCUAAUACCGGAUAGGACCAUGGUGUGGAUACUGUGGUGGAAAGUUUUUUCGGUGUGGGAUGGGCCCGCGGCCUAUCAGCUUGUUGGUGGGGUAAUGGCCUACCAAGGCGGCGACGGGUAGCCGGCCUGAGAGGGUGGACGGCCACAUUGGGACUGAGACACGGCCCAGACUCCUACGGGAGGCAGCAGUGGGGAAUAUUGCACAAUGGGCGGAAGCCUGAUGCAGCGACGCCGCGUGGGGGAUGACGGUCUUCGGGUUGUAAACUCCUUUCACCAUCGACGAAGGGUUUCUGACGGUAGAUGGAGAAGAAGCACCGGCUAACUACGUG
This 466-nucleotide ribosomal RNA is filed under the name uncultured bacterium. Its description in RNAcentral is "partial 16S ribosomal RNA". It matches the Rfam family "Bacterial small subunit ribosomal RNA", at positions 28 to 507 of the family's 1533-position model. The record is from RNAcentral.